RNAcentral lists this long non-coding RNA (280 nucleotides) under Brassica napus (rape). RNAcentral's name for it is "long non-coding RNA (BNAP_LNC003886)". The record is from RNAcentral. Lineage: Eukaryota; Viridiplantae; Streptophyta; Magnoliopsida; Brassicales; Brassicaceae.
UCCAAAUCUAUUAACCAUUCAAUCUAUUAAAAAUAAAAAAUUAGUUGACAGAAAGUUAUAUUUUUAAAUACAAGAAACUUGAGAAAGAAAAAUUUAAUUUUUUUUUUCAAAAUCUAAAUAUCCGAACCCGAUCCGAAAUAACCGAAUCCGAACUAAAAAUACCCGAACCCGACCCGAAGUACAGAAAUACCCGAAUGGGUUUUACACCUCUAUACCGAAAUACCCGAAAAUCCGAAAUACCCGACCCGAACCCGAACGGGUACCCGAACGCCCACCCCUA